AGAGUUUGAUCCUGGCUCAGGACGAACGCUGGCGGCGUGCCUAACACAUGCAAGUCGAACGGGGUGAGGCCCUUCGGGACCUUUACCUAGUGGCGAACGGGUGAGUAACGCGUGAGGAACCUGCCUUUCAGUGGGGGACAACAGUUGGAAACGACUGCUAAUACCGCAUGAAGCUUUUGGGAGACAUCUCCUGGAAGCCAAAGCUUAAUGUGCUGAAAGAUGGCCUCGCGUCUGAUUAGCUAGUUGGUGGGGUAACGGCCCACCAAGGCGACGAUCAGUAGCCGGUCAGAGAGGAUGAACGGCCACAUUGGGACUGAGAUACGGCCCAGACUCCUACGGGAGGCAGCAGUGGGGAAUAUUGGGCAAUGGGCGAAAGCCUGACCCAGCAACGCCGCGUGAAGGAAGAAGGCCUUCGGGUUGUAAACUUCUUUUACCAGGGACGAAGGACGUGACGGUACCUGGAGAAAAAGCAACGGCUAACUACGUGCAGCAGCCGCGGUAAUACGUAGGUUGCAAGCGUUGUCCGGAUUUACUGGGUGUAAAGGGCGUGUAGGCGGAGAUGCAAGUUAGGAGUGAAAUCUAUGGGCUCAACCCAUAAACUGCUUCUAAAACUGUAUCCCUUGAGUAUCGGGGAGGCAAGCGGAAUUCCUAGUGUAGCGGUGAAAUGCGUAGAUAUUAGGAGGAACACCAGUGGCGAAGGCGGCUUGCUGGACGACAACUGACGCUGAGGCGCGAAAGCGUGGGGAGCAAACAGGAUUAGAUACCCAGGUAGUCCACGCUGUAAACGAUGAAUACUAGGUGUGGGGGGACUGACCCCCUCCGUGCCGCAGUUAACACAAUAAGUAUUCCACCUGGGGAGUACGACCGCAAGGUUGAAACUCAAAGGAAUUGACGGGGGCCCGCACAAGCAGUGGAUUAUGUGGUUUAAUUCGACGCAACGCGAAGAACCUUACCAGGACUUGACAUCCAACUAACGAAGUAGAGAUACAUCAGGUGCCCUUCGGGGAAAGUUGAGACAGGUGGUGCAUGGUUGUCGUCAGCUCGUGUCGUGAGAUGUUGGGUUAAGUCCCGCAACGAGCGCAACCCCUAUUGUUAGUUGCUACGAAAGAGCACUCUAGCGAGACUGCCGUUGACAAAACGGAGGAAGGCGGGGACGACGUCAAAUCAUCAUGCCCCUUAUGUCCUGGGCUACACACGUAAUACAAUGGUGGCCAACAGAGGGAAGCGAAGCCGUGAGGCAGAGCAAAUCCCUAAAAGCCAUCUCAGUUCGGAUUGCAGGCUGCAACUCGCCUGCAUGAAGCUGGAAUUGCUAGUAAUCGCGGAUCAGCAUGCCGCGGUGAAUACGUUCCCGGGCCUUGUACACACCGCCCGUCACACCAUGAGAGUCGGGAACACCCGAAGUCCGUAGUCUAACCGCAAGGGGGGCGCGGCCGAAGGUGGGUCCGGUAAUUGGGGUGAAGUCGUAACAAGGUA
This 1473-nucleotide ribosomal RNA is filed under the name metagenome. RNAcentral's name for it is "bacterial SSU rRNA". It matches the Rfam family "Bacterial small subunit ribosomal RNA". The record is from RNAcentral.